RNAcentral lists this transfer RNA (70 nucleotides) under Hemipenthes neimengguensis. RNAcentral describes it as "tRNA-Ser". It matches the Rfam family "tRNA". Rfam says of the family: Transfer RNA (tRNA) molecules are approximately 80 nucleotides in length. The record is from RNAcentral. Lineage: Eukaryota; Metazoa; Arthropoda; Insecta; Diptera; Bombyliidae.
AGUUAAUGAGCUUGAAUUUAAGCAUAUGUUUUGAAAACAUAAGAUAGAAAGUAAAAUCUUCUAUUAACUU